UGGGGAAUUUUGGACAAUGGGCGAAAGCCUGAUCCAGCAAUGCCGCGUGUGUGAAGAAGGCCUUCGGGUUGUAAAGCACUUUUGUCCGGAAAGAAAUCCUUGGCUCUAAUACAGUCGGGGGAUGACGGUACCGGAAGAAUAAGUACCGGCUAACUACGUGCCAGCAGCCGCGGUAAUACGUAGGGUGCAAGCGUUAAUCGGAAUUACUGGGCGUAAAGCGUGCGCAGGCGGUUUGCUAAGACCGAUGUGAAAUCCCCGGGCUCAACCUGGGAACUGCAUUGGUGACUGGCAGGCUAGAGUAUGGCAGAGGGGGGUAGAAUUCCACGUGUAGCAGUGAAAUGCGUAGAGAUGUGGAGGAAUACCGAUGGCGAAGGCAGCCCCCUGGGCCAAUACUGACGCUCAUGCACGAAAGCGUGGGGAGCAAACAGGAUUAGAUACCCUGGUAGUCCACGCCCUAAACGAUGUCAACUAGUUGUUGGGGAUUCAUUUCCUUAGUAACGUAGCUAACGCGUGAAGUUGACCGCCUGGGGAGUACGGUCGCAAGAUUAAAAGCUCAAAGG
Molecule: ribosomal RNA, 560 nt
Filed under: uncultured bacterium
Lineage: Bacteria
Description: partial 16S ribosomal RNA
Rfam family: Bacterial small subunit ribosomal RNA
Source: RNAcentral